UACGUAGGGUGCGAGCGUUGUCCGGCAUUAUUGGGCGUCAAGAGCUUGUAGGCGGUCUGUCGCGUCUGCUGUGAAAAUCCGGGGCUCAACCCCGGACUUGCAGUGGGUACGGGCAGACUAGAGUGUGGUAGGGGAGACUGGAAUUCCUGGUGUAGCGGUGAAAUGCGCAGAUAUCAGGAGGAACACCGGUGGCGAAGGCGGGUCUCUGGGCCGUAACUGACGCUGAGGAGCGAAAGCAUGGGGAGCGAACAGG
This 253-nucleotide ribosomal RNA is filed under the name uncultured bacterium. RNAcentral describes it as "partial 16S ribosomal RNA". It matches the Rfam family "Bacterial small subunit ribosomal RNA", at positions 524 to 776 of the family's 1533-position model. The record is from RNAcentral.